GGGGCUGUGGCUCAGUGGUAGAGCAUCUGCUUGAGAAGCAGAUGGUCCCAGGUUCAAUCCCUGGCAUCUCCA
Non-coding RNA from Heteronotia binoei (common prickly gecko), 72 nucleotides. The record is from the annotation of a RefSeq genome assembly. NCBI's taxonomy places the organism in Eukaryota, Metazoa, Chordata, Lepidosauria, Squamata, Gekkonidae.